This is a non-coding RNA of Parelaphostrongylus tenuis, 87 nucleotides long. The record is from the annotation of a GenBank genome assembly. Lineage: Eukaryota; Metazoa; Nematoda; Chromadorea; Rhabditida; Metastrongylidae.
GCCGCGGUGGUGUAGUGGUAGAGCACGCGUCCCCGGAUAGGAUGAAAUGCGGGUUCGAUUCCGCGGGUUCGAUUCCCGCCUGAGGCC